This 1051-nucleotide long non-coding RNA is filed under the name Equus asinus (donkey). RNAcentral's name for it is "lncRNA (ENSEASG00005037536.1)". Lineage: Eukaryota; Metazoa; Chordata; Mammalia; Perissodactyla; Equidae. The record is from RNAcentral.
AAGAGGGGGAGCUUGGCUGGAUGUGAGGCAGAAGAAGCAGGCCUCCAGGUCCCAGGGUCAGGACUAGGGUGCAGGUUGGCCCUGAACCCCAGCAGGUGGUAUCUGCCAGUCCAAAGUCUGUGAGCACCCCACCAAAAGGAGGUGUCUCCAGCAGGCUGUUAACCUUGGUAAUGAAAAGCACAACUUUAUGAGCAUCAAAAAUUGGCUAAACUUAUUAAUUUUAUCUAUAAUAGAAAAUUAAUGGUUGGGAUGAAUGAGCCAGCAGCAGUAAGGACCUCUGGUUUCGAAUAUGCAGGGGAAGCAUGGAAUCACUUCCUAAUGUGGAUGGUUCCUUUCCUUUUAUUACACUGCAGCAGAAAUAAAUUUUAACUGUCUUCUUUUUUUCAGGGGAGUAUUUGGUUUUCAGUUCCAGGAAUUUCCUUUUUACCCACAGGAGGGAAGAUACCAUGGCCAGAAAGCUUUCGUUUUCCCUCACCCCUCAACCUCUGUUCUCCCCUCUCACGCAUCAUCAGGAUGGAAAGGCUCCUUGGUCCUACCUCUAGUGAUGAAGGAGCUGUGGUCAAGCCUCCUGUGGCGUUUGUGCAGCCCAAGGGGGAUCACACAGACUCAGAAGGCAACAGCUGCUUGCCUUGCCUGAAAAUGCCUUGUGAUGGUGACUCCAGGACACAGCAAGUCCCUUCAAGGAGCACGGAAAGCUUUGUCUCUCCAUUGCCUGAUGCUGCUGGUGGGAAACACGCUUUCAGCAAACCCACAGUCCUUUCAGUGCCUUGGCUAAAGGAAGGAGAAGGAGAGAAAGGAGACCGAGCGAAGGCCGCUGGGACGGGCUUGGUGCCAUAGAGCAGGAAGAGCCACGUUCUUGAUUUCUGUGCUCUGAGGCUGGAGGAGCCUCCUCAGUCUGGACCCCAGGAAUCUGACUGACCAGGAACACCCUGUCAGCAUACUCCACAGCAGUGCUGUCCCCCAGAGACAGCGCUGCCUUACCAACUGGAAUCACAGGCACACACAGGAAAUGCUUCUUAUUUCACAAAAUAACACUCAACUUUGAAUGUUG